UUAUUAUUGUAGCACAAAAACACUGAUACUUAUGUAUUUUAAUGAUGUUCAGUAGAAAAAACAAACGAAAAUAUAAAGUGAGUAAAAGGCAAGUUAAAAAUAGAAACCCACUACCUCACCCACUAUUAUUCUGCUUCAGUUAGUCUCCCAUUAAUAUGACAGGGACAUUUUUAUUCUGGUGACUCCUGCUUGGCAUGCCCUCUCCACCAAUCACCUACCUGCCUAGUCAGAGCUAAUGAAAACAUCUCGGUUAAUUAACCACAUUCAACUUCCUCUUUUUAUAAGGAUAACCAUAAUACUGACAUGAUGACAGAGAGGGAAUACCCAGAAAAAGUGGCAGGAGAAGACUGAUCUCAUUUUGUGGCAGUUUGGGAUCUAAGCCAGUUUUGCUUUUUCUUCUUUUGUUUUUAUUUUAUUUUUACACAUCAUUUCAAACUUCCCUGUUGAGGGUGCUUUUACAUAAUACAGGCUUAUUUUUUUAAAUCAAAAUUUCUGGAAGAGCCUUGGCCUUUUUAGUAAUGAGCCUCUGAAUUGUCCUAGAAAUCUUUGCAGAGAUAAUGUUUCCCUAAUGCUGAUUUUUUUUUUUUUUUAAAUUCUUUAAAUCUUAGAGAAAUUGUUUUGGUGUUUGAAAUACUUUUACCAAAGUAUAAAAAAUUACAAAAGCUGUGGACUACAUCCAAAAAGAAAAAAAAAAGAUUUGAAUAUCGUUGAAUGUCGUUCUACUUUUAUGAAAUUUUAGUGGGACUGGGAUAAAGUGAGACUGACUGGUGACUUCAAACAUUUUGUAAUUUAUAGGAUGUUAAAAAUGGCCAAAAAUCUACACACCACUUACUUCUUAUAAAAUAUUAAUCUUUUCAUGUUUUCGACCAUCACGCCAAGUGGCCAUCUGCACGCAGAGAGAAACAUAACACAGCCAAUCUCAGAUCUCCUGGGAUCUGUGGUGAGCGCAGGAAUGUGACACAUGUUUUGUCACGGCUGCCGAGGCGAGCUGUGUGGUGUUGGAGGAAAGGAGGACCCAAAAUGCAGGUGAUGACUCAUGAUUCGAGUGAUGUUUAUUUACAGGGUGGUGUAGUGGCAAAUAGGCAGUGAGGGAUGACAGGGAACUAAAGAAAC
This is a long non-coding RNA of Astatotilapia calliptera (eastern happy), 1113 nucleotides long. Lineage: Eukaryota; Metazoa; Chordata; Actinopteri; Cichliformes; Cichlidae. The record is from Ensembl.